AUCCAGCUGAUGAGUCCCAAGUAGGACGAAACGCACGUCCUGAAU
Molecule: non-coding RNA, 45 nt
Filed under: Schistosoma mansoni
Lineage: Eukaryota; Metazoa; Platyhelminthes; Trematoda; Strigeidida; Schistosomatidae
Source: RNAcentral